GAUGAAGAACGCAGCGAAAUGCGAUACUUGGUGUGAAUUGCAGAAUCCCGUGAACCAUCGAGUCUUUGAACGCAAGUUGCGCCUCAAGCCAUUAGGUUGAGGGCACGUCUGCCUGGGCGUCACAUAUCGUUGCCUGAUGCCAGUUUCCUCGUGAUGGGUGACUGUGCAGGGCGAAUGAUGGCUUCCCGUGAGCAUUGUUGCCUCAUGGUUGGUUGAAAAUUGAGUCCUUGGUAGGGAGCGCCGUGAUAGAUGGUGGUUGAGUGACGAACGAGACCCAAUCAUGUGAGACCCCUACCGAAUUUGGCCUUCAUGACCCACAUGCGUCUUUGGAACGCUCAUGACGAGACCUCAGGUCAGGCGGGGCUACCCGCUGAGUUUAAGCAUAUCAAAAAGCGGAGGA
RNAcentral lists this unclassified non-coding RNA (400 nucleotides) under soil metagenome. RNAcentral's name for it is "partial contains 5.8S ribosomal RNA, internal transcribed spacer 2, and large subunit ribosomal RNA". The stretch from base 1 to 122 matches the Rfam family "5.8S ribosomal RNA", at positions 35 to 154 of the family's 154-position model. The record is from RNAcentral.